This is a long non-coding RNA of Equus caballus (horse), 2076 nucleotides long. Lineage: Eukaryota; Metazoa; Chordata; Mammalia; Perissodactyla; Equidae. The record is from Ensembl.
GCGAUGGGGCUGCGAGCGGGCGGAGCGUCGGGCAGGGCUGCGGGGGACCGGGGGGCGCCCGAGGGGCCCGCGCCGGGCGGCAGCAUCCACUCGGGCUGCAUCGCCGCGGUGCACAACGUGCCUCUGAGCGUGCUCAUCCGGCCGCUGCCGUCCGUGCUGGACCCGGCCAAGAGGAGGAAACUGAGGCACAAGAGGAUUUAAGUAACUUGUCCAAAGUCAGACACUUAGAAAGGGGCACAGCCUGGCCCCAGAGCCCAGCUGCACGGCCACCACACUAUCCAGAGAUAAGCUGUGAUGUCACUUCUGAAUGGGACAGUCAGUGGCAGUGGGACUGGGCAUGUCCUGUGUGCUGGGAGGGCCCUGUUUGAACUGGAACUGGGAGAGGACGGGUGAGCCCCAUCACGAGGGUGGGUGUUCAGGAAUGUCGUUGUGAUCCUGGCGGGAACUUUGGGGGAGCGGGGAAGCUGUGUCAGGGGAGGCCUCCAUGGCAUCGUGCCCCCUUCCCCUACACCCUUGGAAGGUGACCAUGUGAGACCCAGAGGCCCCACCAAACCCCUCUACAGGGCCCCCAGGUGUCUUUCUGUCCUGGGAUUUGUGCCACAGGGCCUGCUCCCUCACUGGGUCAGGGCUCCGCCUCCCUGCCCGCCCUUGCUCACGGAGCCCUGGCCCCUCUCGCUGUGCCCUUGACCUGAGCUAUUUCCACCUGAGUCAUUUGUUUGUUCGUGUUUUAUUGUCUGUCUUCCCACCUCAUGUGAGCUCCACAAGAGCCGGGACUUGGCUGUAUCUUGGCUGUUUCCUCAAUGCCAGCCUGGGGCCUGGCUUUUUGUGGAGGAUCUAGCCCUGCGUCCCCUCUCCCACCCCUGGGCCUUUGCACAGGCCUUUUCCCUUGCCAAGAAAACUCUCCCAUCUCUUCUUUACUGUUUCUAACUCCUUCUUGUAGCAUUGUCUUCCCUGGUGGCCUGGAUUAGGGCCACCUGCAUGCCCACCAGCAUAGCUCUGCUCCUGCUGGGUUUUUUUGUUUGUUUUUGCUGAGGAAGAUUCACCGGGAGCUAACAUCUGUGCCAGUCUUCCUCUCCUUUGUAUGUGGGUCACCGCCACAGCAUGGCUGAUGAGGGGUGUCGGUCCACACCCGGGAUCCAAACCUGCAAACCCAGGCCCCUGAAGCAGAGGGCACUGAACUGAGCCACUAGGCCACCGGGCGGGCCCCUCCCUCCGGAUUUUAAUGGCCCCCUCCGAUGCCUGUCUCCCAUGCUAGAACCAUCUGCUGUGAGGGCAAGACCCAGGGCUCUUCUUUGCUUACCUUGUGUAUUAGUUUUCUGUGUCCACUAACAAGUUACCAGAAGCUUAGUGCCUUAAGACGACACAAAUUUAUCAUCAUACGGUUCCACACUUCGCAAGUCCAAAAUGGGUCUCCCAAGGUGUCAGCAGGGCUGCAUGCUUCUCUGCAGGCCCUGGAGGAGAAGCCAUGUCCUUGCCUUUCUGGCUUCUAGAGGCCAACCCAUUUCCUUGGCUCGUGGCCUCUCUCCUCCAUCUUCAAGGCCAGCAACCUCAGACCUCCUGUUCUGCUUCUCUUCUGCUUUUAAGGACCCUGGUGAUUACCUUAGACCCAGCCGGAUAACCCAGGAUAAUCUCCCCACCUCAAGAUGCUUAAGUUAAUUCCAUCUGCAAAGUCCCGUGUGCUCCAGGCAUUAGAGUGUGGCCAGCUUUGGGGGCUGUUGCUCUGCCCACCUGCCAUCAUGUCCCCAGCGCCCAGCACAAGGCCUGCCCUGCGCAGCUGCCCCUCUGUAGUGCUCCCUUCCCGGCAUGCUGUGGUCCGUGACUCACCUGCAUUGGCUCCUUGACUCCUCCUCAGCAGCCCCAUAGAGCAUCUGUUCCCAUUUCACAGGUGAGGAACAGUGCUCAGAGAGGCGAGGCCACUUGCUCAGGGUCCCCCAGCUGCUCUGUGGAGGAGCUGAGAUUCAAAUUCAGGUUUGCCGGAUUCCAGAGCCCCAGCCCCUAACUGCUGGGCCUUACUGCUUCAUAAUCUUUUCUGGAAUGAAUGGACAAAUGAAUCCAUCCAAACAGCACAAUAGGAGA